GACAGAGGGGGCAAGCGUUGCUCGGAAUUACUGGGCGUAAAGGGCUCGUAGGCGGCCAACUAAGUCAUACGUGAAAUCCCUCGGCUUAACCGGGGAACUGCGUCUGAUACUGGAUGGCUUGAGAUUGGGAGAGGGAUGCGGAAUUCCAGGUGUAGCGGUGAAAUGCGUAGAUAUCUGGAGGAACACCGGUGGCGAAGGCGGCAUCCUGGACCAACACUGACGCUGAGGAGCGAAAGCCAGGGGAGCAAACGGG
Molecule: ribosomal RNA, 253 nt
Filed under: uncultured bacterium
Lineage: Bacteria
Description: partial 16S ribosomal RNA
Rfam family: Bacterial small subunit ribosomal RNA
Source: RNAcentral